UAGAUGAGAUUUCCCAACUUCGGUUAUAAGAUCCCUCAAAGAUGAUGAGGUGAAUAGGUUCGAGGUGGAAGCGUAGUGAUACGUGGAGCUGACGAAUACUAAUCGAUCGAAGACUUAAUCAA
This 122-nucleotide ribosomal RNA is filed under the name Staphylococcus pseudintermedius. RNAcentral describes it as "partial 23S ribosomal RNA". It matches the Rfam family "Bacterial large subunit ribosomal RNA", at positions 2801 to 2925 of the family's 2925-position model. The record is from RNAcentral. Lineage: Bacteria; Bacillati; Bacillota; Bacilli; Caryophanales; Staphylococcaceae.